This 109-nucleotide small nuclear RNA is filed under the name Nannospalax galili (Upper Galilee mountains blind mole rat). Lineage: Eukaryota; Metazoa; Chordata; Mammalia; Rodentia; Spalacidae. The record is from RNAcentral.
GUACUUAUUUUGACAUCACAGGUACUAAAAUUGAAACCACACAGACAAGAUCAGCUUGAUCUAUAGGCAAGGCUGACAUGCAAACUUUCAUUAGGAAAGAAAGAAGUCA